UAUCAUGAUCAGUGGAUGUAUCGAUCGACCAUCCCAAGAAAAAGGAUAUACGUACUCUGCAUAUGUGCAUGCCAACAACUAUAAAAGGAGACCAUGAGGCAAUGAGUUGAUCAUCAAAGCAAACACACAGAAAUCCCAACUAAAAAUCAAUCAGUGAGACAAUGGCUGGAACCAAUGAUAUUAAAAUUAAAGGGUUUGAUUUGAGCAACAACAAAGGCAACACGUCGGGAUUAACCCACUUCGCCAACAGAGCUGCCGAGGGCGACAAGGGCGACAAUAAAAUCGAGGUUGAGGAUGCUAAAGGGCAAGGGAACACGGGAAACUUGAAAGUACUGACCGACUUCGCCCAACGCGGUAAAGUGGGCCAGUCGGAUCGCCAAGAACUACUCAAACCUCAGGCAUGAAAUUGAAGAAGGCCAGACCACAACAACUUGUCUGCUUGAUAGAUAUAUGUGCUAAAUUAUCUACACAAAAAUAAGAGCUGAUGUUUUAUCUGAGGCUCCUUCCUUGGUUAGGCCUCGUUAUCAUGUGUAAUAUUAAUAUUAUUAUUCUAAUAAAAUAAUGGUAGCUUAUUAUUAAAUAUAUCAGAAUUCUAUACGUAUAACUUUUAGAUUAUUGAUACUGAUGUCAACAAGAGAAAAUGAUUAAAAAUUCCUUUCUCCAAUUCGUGAUGUUAGACAAGAAGCAAACAAAUUUAGGAUAAUGGAUUUUAAAAGUUUGGUGACAAAUGAUGGUAAAGAAGAAUUUAGCCACUACUACAAAAAGUGAAAAAGACGACCAGAAAACAACGACGGUCUAAGUGAAAACCGUCGUGGUUUAUAAAAAGACGACGGUUCUAAAAACACCGUCGUGUAAUACAACCUUAGACAACUAAAAAAUGGAGUUUCAAAUGGCUGUUCAAAAACAACGACGUACAUAAUUAAACAACCGACGUCUAUUUGAAACAGAUUUCCUCAGUGUAAAAUCAAUGCCAACAAAGAACGGCAGAAGUUAUGAAUCGACCGACGUAGAAAGUAAAGACGACGAUUUCAAUAAAAACUGCCGUUUUUACUCAUAAAAUAACACGACGAGGUUUUCGUAUAAGACGCCGUAUAAUUACAAACAAAUCCACGGCUUUAAAAUACAAAAUAUCGCCGUAUUAAAUUAAUUUACAACGACGGAAAAUAUAAAUAUAUCGACGUCAUUCUCGUAUAGUUCUACUACGUUAUCUUUAAAUCGUACAAUAAAAUUUAUCGUCGUAUUUAUUCAUUUUAUACGUCGUACCUUUAAUUUUAACGGUCGUCUUAAUAAGAAUUUUUGUUAACAAUUUUUUUCUUUGAUUUUCUUAUCCUACGUCGGUAGAUCUACUUAAUGACAAGAAUUGAAAUAACCACGACGGUUUAUAUAGAACACCGCCGACAUAAUCAGUUUUGUCUGAGAUCCCAAGGGUUACGAAAUCUUACCAGAUGGAACUCUGUUCCACAUCAUAAUCUUAACAGAUGACACAGAUUUGCAAAUAUUGCGUCGUGUUAGUUUACAAAUUCUAGAACAUUAAUUUCCCUCAUUUUAAAUUUCCUCGGGAAAGAAAAAUCUAUUUAUCACGCUUUGGAAUUGAAAACUAAAACUGAAAGAAUACGGGAAAAAAAACUCCAUUUAUAAUUUAAAAUUAAAAUCCACGUCGGUUGUAGUACACUUAACGACGUUUAACAAAAUAAUCUACGUCGGUAAUUAUAAAUCUACCGCCAUCGUAACUUAAUAUAGACGACGAGAAAAGACGACGGUAGAACAGAAAACCGCCGUUGUUUCAGUUUCUUUAACAUAUCUUUCUGCAGGACUUGUGUAGUUCAAAGCAUUGACAAUGUCUUCAUCAUAUCUCCCAGAAACUACUGAUUCAAUUGCUCAUGCUUUAGAGGCCAUCUGAAGCCAUUUCUAUUCUUUAUCGCAUUCUUGAAACCCAUCUUCUUCUUCUGAAGCUCUACGGAUAAAGGAAGAGGCUAUCACAAUAAAUCCGACGGAUCUUCUUAGGCAAGAAAAUCAAGCAGAGGAUCAGGCACAUCUGAUCUUCAGAUUUCCCUGAGAAGCGAACUUUCCUUCGACAGCGAGUGGAGGCCAGGCUUGCAUCUCUUUUGAUGGAAAGCAAGGAGUAUUCAGAAGCACUAAGUGUCCUAUCAGGCUUGAUCAAGGAAGUGAGAAGGCUAGUUGACAAGCUUCUUCUUGUGGACAUAUAUUUGAUGCGAGUAAGCUCAAUUUCUCUUUGAGAAAACAUCCAAAUUAUUAUCUUUGAGACAUGAGAGACUGAGAGAGGAAGAACUUGGAACCUUAAAUGUAAACCGAAAAUGAAUGAAAGCGACAAAUUUAUAGAAUAAAUUUUUAAAACCAACGGCGGUCCUUACAAACAAACCGCCGUUUAAAUUGUAAAAUCAACGUCGGUAUGAUCGACGUAUAUUACAGAAAUCCACGUCGGUAAAUUAAUAAAAACGACGUGUUAAAUAAUAUACCAUGACGCGAGUUAUUACUUAUGUACUUUAAUUUUUGAGUUUACUACGACGGUACCUACAAACUACUGUCGUAUUUAUUUACCACGUCCGAAGUUAAAUGUACCGUCGUAUUUUGUAAUUUAUACGUCGUAGUUAUAUGUAACCGCCAUAUUAUUUUUUUGAAAUGGUUUUAUAUGUAAGCAACUUUUCGUCUACUUGACUUACACAUUUGUUGUUUUUAUAUUCUUAUUUUAUUUAAAUCUGUCAUCCAAAAAAGAAACUUUACAUAUUGCAGAAUAUUAAUUUCCUUCGUUUUAAAUUUCCUCCGGAAAAAAAACUCUAUUUAUAACGCACUGUAAUUGAAAAAUAAACUGAAAGGUCACGGGAAAAAAAAUUCUAUUCAUAAUUUAAAAAUUAAAAUCCACGUCGGUUAUAUUAAACCUAACGACGUUAAAUGAAAUGAUUCCACGUCGAAUGAAAAAUAUUGCGUCGUUUUAGUUAAAAACGACGUAGUUAAAUGUAACCGCCGUAUUAUUUUUUUGAAAUGGUUUUAUAUGUAAGCAACUUUUCGACUUACACAUGCACUGUUUCCAAACCCGAUUAAAAAUUUCAAUCUCCCAGAGAAACCUUUUCGUCUUUUUUCCUUGUCAGAGCAUUGUCAGAGUUUUUCAUCGUCUUCCUCUCGUCUUCUUCGUCGUCUCUGAACUUAAACAUCGAUCAUCUUCCUCUUGCUUUCAUUGCACGCAAAAGGUAAGCUUUCAUUUUCACUAUUUUGGUUACUGUUUUGCAUGCUCAUACGUUUUUUGUUUGAAAAAUCUUUUUACCUUUUUUCUGGCCAAAAUCAUUUUACUUCUUUCCAAGUUUGAUAAAAUAUACAGACAAAGAGAGAAAGUUUCCAACUUUGAAGACAACUACAUCAACUAAAUAAGACGACGGUAGACCACGACGGUUCGUCAGUUGUUCUAGCGUCGUCUGAAAAUUGACAAAGUUGUUUUUAAAAUAAUAGUCUUUUUUUAUAUGCUUGUUUAAUUGCAGGUUUGAUUUCGCUGAACAAUGGUUUUUGUUUUUCCCUUAUUUGAUAAAAUAUAAAGAAAAAGAAACUAGGGUUGGUAUCUAAUAUAGACGAUAAAAUAUAAAUAAUAGUUUACCACGACGGUGUAUUACUAUUGACGUCGUGUGAACAUAUAUACCACGACGUUAUAUAAAUAAUGGUUUUAAACAUUUAUUACGUCUGAGAUUAUUUCAUUGCGUCGUCUAAAAUCAUAUCAUACGUCGUAUUUUUUUAAUACCGUCGUUUGUGUUCUUAAUGUUUUCCUGAAAUAUUUUCACUUGCAGUUUUGUCUGUUAAAAUGGUUUCUCAACAACAAACUAAGGAUUCUGGCUCCAAGAAGCUUGGAAUGGUAGCUCCUCAAGAUAAGUCUUCGAAGGAGAUGAAGUCUUCGAAGAAGAUGAAGUUUGCUUCAUCAUCUGCUGAGACAGAACAAACCAGCCAGACAACAAUCUCAGAUGAUUCAAAGACUGGUCGAGGUAUGAGCACAAUGCCUCGUGUUGUGAAGAGAAAGCUUCAGAAACUGAGGCCAAUUGUUGAGUACAAUAAAAGGGGGAAAGGUGUUGGCCAAGCACAUAUUGAGAUGCAGUCGUAUAUUGGUGUGUUGGCACGCUCCAGGAUCCCACUUGUGGACAAGAAAUGGUCCCAAAUCCCCAAGGAUAUAAAGGAGCAGAUUUGGGAAGCAGUUGACAUGGCUUUUGUCGUAGGCCAAGGGGGCAAGACCUCUGUUUUAGCUUCUGCUUCCAAGAAAUGGAAGGAUUUCAAGUCUACACUAACGAGGCAUUAUAUCCUUCCAUACACCAAUGACAGGGAGAAAUUAAGCCAACCCCCUGAAACAUAUAAAUUCAUAGAGAAAGCACAAUGGGAUGCCUUUGUAGCUUCAAGGCUAUCCAAAGAUUUUGAGUCUGUGCAUUCUCAACAUGCACAGAUUAGGGAGAAACUCGAGUACAAUCAUCGAUUGUCUCGAAAAGGAUAUGCUGGAUUGGAGGAUCAAUUGGAGGAAACCAUGCCUGGGGUAGAAAUUGAUCGAUCUACCUUAUGGAAGAGAGCUAGACAGGACAAACAUGGUAACAUCCCUGAUCCAAAGGUGGCAGAGAAAGCAAAAUUAAUUGUAAGCCUACUAUCACUCUGUUUUAAAUUUUUAUUAAACUGUGAAUUAUUCUUAUUACGUCGUAUGUUAUAUUUUUCGUCGUGUGAAUGAUAUUACCACGUCGAAAAGUUUUUAAAAACGUCGUUAAAGGUCUAAAUAGGAAUCACUACUAUGUUUUCUGUAAUUACAGCAUAAGACGUCGGUGGUUCAUUUUCGCGUCGUGUGAAUGAUAUUACCACGUCGAAAAUUUUUUAAAAACGUCGUUAACGGUCUAAAUAGGAAUCACUACUCUGUUAUCUUUAAUUAUAGCAUAAGACGUCGGUUGUUUAUUCAUUUCGUCGUUUUAAAUAAAUAACCACGUCGGUAUAACUACCGUCGUGAUAAGUUAUAAUAACGUCGGUUUAUACGUUAUUGCGUCGUGUGAAAUUAUAUAAUACGUCGUUUGUACAUAAAUAACCGUCGUGUGUUUUUUUGUUUAUCUUUUUUUAGGAUGAAUUGCAGAAACAAGUCUCGGAAGGCAAAGUCAGAGUAGAUGGCAGCAAUGAUGUGCUGACCAUGGCUUUGGGCCCCGAGCAUCCAGGCAGACUGAGGGGAGUUGGUGCUGGUGUUUCCCCAAGGCAAUAUUUCAAUUUGCCCAAACCACAGAGGGUGAGCUUUGACGACCGUUUGAAGGACAGUUUAAGAGUUCUCCUUCAAGAAGAGACUAAAAAGAUGGAGGCUAAGGCAAGGGAAGAGGCCUUAAGGAUGGAGGCUAGGACAAAACAAUUGGUAGAGGCUGAGAGGGAGCAUUUCCUGAGUCAGCUUUCCCAAUUAAUUCCCAAUUUUGAUCCAAGCAUGCUUAAACCAAGAAUUAGCCAAAGCCCCAAAAAUCCAAUGUCUGACAAAGCUAGCUGCUCUGGAGGUGAUGUGAGAUCCCUACAUUUGGAGGAUGAUACUGCCAAAAUGGGGAAACAUCAGCCAGAUGAAGAGAAGGAAGAAGAAAAAAGAGAUGAAGAGAAGGAAGAAGAAAAGGAGAAAGAAGAUGAAGAAAAGCAUGACGACAAGGUAUGUUCACAUAACUUUGCCUUUUUUAUUUGUUUUUCAAAAUUUCAGACGUCGAUAUUUUUAUUUAAUCCGUCGUUUGUUUAAAACUUAGACGGCGGAAUUUUUUUAAGACGUAAUAAAAUAUUUAAACGACGGUUUUUGCACCGUCGUUUAAAUGGUUUCAGACGACGCUUUAUUCAUAAAACCGUCGUCUUUAUUGAAUUACCACGACAGUUUUUUCACCGUCGUUUAAAUACUUUUAAGACGACGUUUUAUUACUUAAACCGUCGUCUUUAUUGAAUUACCACGUCAUUUUUUUUAUUUCUUUAAACAGGUUAUUGAAGUUGGUGCUUAUUCAAAAAUGGAGGCGCCAUCUUCUUUAAAAACCCUUUGUCGUUUUGUGGAAACGACACUCCUGCCUGAGGAUAAGACACUCCAAUUUACAAUUGAUAAGGAGGUGUUUGGUGGUGAGCGCGAUACCUUCCUCCUGCCUGAAGAUAUUACACAAUUUGCAGGCAUGGAAGAAAUUGGAGCUACUGUAUUGGCUGUAUAUAUGAGGUUUGUACUUCUAAAAUAAUACCUCGUUGGUUUAUAUAUUGCGUCGUCUUAACUAACUAACCACGUCGUCUUAACUAACUACCGUCGUGAUAAAUAUAUUAUAACGUCCUCAUCUAUUUCAGUACGUCGUGUGAAAUAUUAUAAUACGUCGUUUUUUUAUACAUAACCGUCGUGUUUGUUUGUGCUGACUUGUUUAUAUUAUUUUAUGUAUUUAGGUACUUACACGAUGUUUUGAAACAAGCCAAUAUGUGCAGCAUGGUUGGCUUUAUUGACCCUGCUACAGUUAGUGCCAACUCUGGCACAAUAACUGAAAGAUCACGACUGGUAGCAGCUCGACUUCAGAAGACAGACGGUGAACAGCUUUUCAUGAUGCCUUACAAUCCAGGGUUAGUCUCCUUAGGAUUUUGUUUUUAUGAUUUUCAAUAAAUGACAGCUUAUAAACUAACCACGUCGGUGUUUUAUUUUAUUUAGUCGUUUGAAACUACUAACCACGUCGGUAUUUAUUUGUCGUCGUGAUAAAUAUAUAAUGUUGUCGUUAUCUACUUUAUUUCGUCGUGUGAAAUACUAUAAUACGUCGUUUUUGUAAAUAACCGUCGUUUUUAUAUUAAUUUUGUGCAGCCGUCAUUGGAUCCUGCUGAUUGUAAGAGCAAAGAAGGAGACCGUCUAUUUUCUGGAUCCUCUGCCAGGUCAUCGUGUGGUCGACGAAGAGGCGAAAAACAUCGUGAACAGUGCUUUAAAAAUAUAUAAUACCCACAUAGGCCGAGCAGGACGUAAAAAUGUAAUUUGAAAAACUCUCUCAGGCACACCAAAGCAACCCAGCAAUGUCGAAUGCGGGUAUUAUGUGAUGCGCUUCAUGAGGGACAUCAUCAUGGAUCCUUCCUUGGGGUUUGAGAAUAAGGUAAGAAGAAAUUACCUUCAUACAUUUCACGUCGUUUUUUGUAUUAUCAACGACGGUCAUGUAAAAUUAACGUCGUUGAAUGGAUAUACUACGUCGGUUAUGAAAAAUAUCGUCGUCUGUGAUUGAAUUUCUUUUUAUUUAUAAACCCUAAUAGUCAUUGUUUAUGCAGUAUGCCAAGGGAAACCAGGAAGCUUCAUACCCCCAAGAAGCCAUUGAUGAAGUCCGGAAUGAAUGGGCAGAGUUUGUUUUCCAAAUUAUUAAACAGGGCAAUUAUUGAACACUUGAUAUUUAUGUAUAAUGUACCAAUUUUCUCUAUAAUAUGUAAUGUAAAAAUUUGUUGAGGUUUUCUUAAAUUAAAAAAAAAACAAACAUACAAAUUGCUUAACCGACGUGUAAUACUUUUCCAACGACCUAAUAAAGUCACAAACCGUCGUAUUUUGUUGUUUCGUGUUUUAAACAAUUACGACGUAAAAAAAUAGUUAGACGACGUUCUUUGAACAAUUGAGUCGUUAAUGGUUUACAAUAUCUUCAAUUUCUUAAGGGUUCAGGGUAUAAUCGACGACGUUUAUGUAACGACUGCGGUUAAGUCGUAAAAUAUAUAUUUUACGUCGUAUAGUUAAAUAGCCGCCAUGGUUUUUCAUUUUAACGACGUCAUUUUAACGACUUAGUAGUCUAUUACAAUUUACAACGUCUACAAUUUAUUAACACCGACGUGGUUUGUUGUUGUGGUAAGAAUAUUUUAUUAUUUUUAUAUCAAAAUAUUCAAAAUAAAUUUAAAAUAAAUCAGAAAAUUGAAAAGUCAACUCCUAUGAAGUCAUUGAUAUAUUUUCUUCCACAUAAACCUUGAAAAAAUUCAUUUUGAAUAACAAAAAUUUAAAAUGACCAUCCAAAACAAAAUUGUUUUGAUGACUCAUAAAAUCACUUCUAGUUUUAUGGUUUAGGGUUUAGAGUCUAGGGUUUAGAGAUUAGGGUUGUUAUUUAUUGGGGUUUAUUUUUAAAGUAUAAUUUUUGGGUAGUCUAGGGUAUAUGUUAGGCUUUAAAACCAUAAAACCUUUUAUAAACUUAAUUUUUUAAAUUGUAUAAUUUAAUUUUAUGGGUUUAGGGUAUUAAUUUUUAACGACGGUGGUUGGGUCGUGGAAUACAUAUUUUACGUCGUACAGUAAAACAUACGACAUGGUUUACGCUUUAAACGACGUCAUUUUAAUAUGUAAGUCGGUUUAUAUAAUUUACAACGUCAACGUCUUUAAUUUCUUAACACCGACGUGGUUUUUCAGUCGUCGUUAUAUAAAAAAUUCAAAAUAAAUUUAAAAUUAAUCCGAAAAAUGAACGGCCUUACGUUCUUAAUCCGAAAAAUGAAGUUUCCGUCGUGGAAUAUUAAAUUUACGUCGGUACUUGUAGAACUUUCGCCUUGGUUUUUCUUUCGACGUUUUAAAACGCGCGCGCUCUAAAAAUUUUCGCGCGACCUAAACUUUUUUAGAUUUGGCUCUUAUUCUUAUACUUCGAACCCUGAAACCUAAAANNNNNNNNNNNNNNNNNNNNNNNNNNNNNNNNNNNNNNNNNNNNNNNNNNNNNNNNNNNNNNNNNNNNNNNNNNNNNNNNNNNNNNNNNNNNNNNNNNNNNNNNNNNNNNNNNNNNNNNNNNNNNNNNNNNNNNNNNNNNNNNNNNNNNNNNNNNNNNNNNNNNNNNNNNNNNNNNNNNNNNNNNNNNNNNNNNNNNNNNNNNNNNNNNNNNNNNNNNNNNNNNNNNNNNNNNNNNNNNNNNNNNNNNNNNNNNNNNNNNNNNNNNNNNNNNNNNNNNNNNNNNNNNNNNNNNNNNNNNNNNNNNNNNNNNNNNNNNNNNNNNNNNNNNNNNNNNNNNNNNNNNNNNNNNNNNNNNNNNNNNNNNNNNNNNNNNNNNNNNNNNNNNNNNNNNNNNNNNNNNNNNNNNNNNNNNNNNNNNNNNNNNNNNNNNNNNNNNNNNNNNNNNNNNNNNNNNNNNNNNNNNNNNNNNNNNNNNNNNNNNNNNNNNNNNNNNNNNNNNNNNNNNNNNNNNNNNNNNNNNNNNNNNNNNNNNNNNNNNNNNNNNNNNNNNNNNNNNNNNNNNNNNNNNNNNNNNNNNNNNNNNNNNNNNNNNNNNNNNNNNCUGUUUUUGUUUAAAACCCGUCGUCUCAUGUUGUUUAUACCUUGCGAUUAGAUCAUGUAUAAUCUGCUAUAGUGAUGGUCAUGCCUGUAUUUUCACUUUUAUAUAGAUAAUAGGUUAUAGUGUCGGAGAUGGAUAAGUCAUGGAUGCACUCGGAUAGAAGAUCGAAGGCAUAUGAGUUUGGGGUGGAAGCAUUUUUGAACUUUGCUGUAGAAAAUCUUCUAACUACAACACAUAUCCGUUGUCCAUGUGUUAAAUGUGUUAAUUUGAAGUUGUUUGGGGUUGGAAUUAUAAGGGAUCACUUAUACUUUAAUGGAAUUGACCAAAGCUAUAAGAAUUGGACAUUUCACGGAGAACCUUGGGAAGCAACUACUAAUGCUAGCAGAAAUGUUGAAGAAGAUGAUGGCCAUAGUAGGUACAGUUUUGUGUCUGAAGAAAUUGAUAUGGAUGAUAAUGAUUUUGGUGAUUUUGGUUCGGAUCCGUAUGAGUUUGCCAAUGUGAUUGGGGAUGGAGAUCAACCAGUGUACCCUGGUUGUAGAAAGUACACGAAGUUAUCGGCAUUAGUGAAGUUGUAUAAUUUGAAGGCAAAACAUGGGAUGAGUGAUGUCUGUUUUACAGAAUUAUUGAUACUUCAAGGCGAUUUGCUUCCAGAAGGAAAUACAAUACCAACCUCCAUGUAUGAGGCUAAAAAGACUUUGUGUGCAUUGGGGCUGAGUUAUGAGAAAAUGCACGCAUGCCCCAAUGAUUGCAUCUUGUAUAGGAAGGAGUAUGAGGAUUCAACUAAUUGUCCUACUUGUGGUAUCUCAAGGUGGAAGGAAGGCAAAGAUGCAAUCUUGAAAGAGGGUGUGCCAGCGAAGGUGGUGUGGUAUUUUCCCCCAAUUCCAAGGUUUAAAAGGAUGUUUCAAUCACAUGAGACAGCUAAGAGUUUGACUUGGUGGCAUGUUGCUAGAAAAUCAAUUGACGGUCAGAUGUCUCAUCCGGCGGAUUCCCCGUCUUGGAAACUUCUUGAUGAUAAAUGGCCUGAGUUUGGUAAUGAGCCGAGAAACUUGAGAUUGGCUCUUUCAUCUGAUGGAUUCAAUCCCCACAGUUCUCUAAGUAGCAGAUAUAGUUGUUGGCCGGUUAUCUUAGUUACAUAUAAUCUCCCUCCAUGGCUGUGCAUGAAACGAAAGUUCAUGAUGUUAACCUUAUUGAUUUCCGAUCCUAAACAACCCGGAAAUGAUAUAGACGUCUACUUGGAGCCUUUGAUUGAUGAUUUAAAAUCCUUGUGGGUUGGGAUUAGAGGAGUGUAUGAUGCACAUAAUGGAGAAUACUUUACACUCAGAGCUGCAUUAAUGUGGACAAUUAAUGAUUUCCCCGCCUAUGGAAACUUAUCUGGUUGUGUUGUUAAAGGAUAUAAAGCUUGUCCAAUAUGCGGCGAUGAUACACCUAGUCAAACAAAUAUUUUUUGUUGACGACCCGAUGCAUCGUGGUUGGUCGUGUAGGCGUGUGAGUGUGUGUUUGUGUUUGUUUUUGUGUGUGUGUGUGUGUGUGUGUGUGGUGUGUGUGUGUGUGUGUGUACCAUUACUNNNNNNNNNNNNNNNNNNNNNNNNNNNNNNNNNNNNNNNNNNNNNNNNNNNNNNNNNNNNNNNNNNNNNNNNNNNNNNNNNNNNNNNNNNNNNNNNNNNNAUGUAAUUGGCAGUGUAUGACAUUAAUUUUGUAAUAUAUUGUAAUGUGAUUUCUUCACUUUCUACGUUCAAAUAAAACACGACGUUAUUGUGAAUCAGUUAUUCAGCAUAUUUACCGACGUCUUAAAGCAACGUAACAAUGAAGAACCACGACGCUAUUGUGAAGCAAUUAUUCAGGAUAUCACGUCGGUGAAGGAUAAAGAACCGCCAUGUAAUUCAAAAUAACACGACUCCAAUCCCAUAAUACCGACGUCUAAAAAACGAGAUAUGUAAUCUGAACGUUAAAAAAUACGACGUCAUCAUACAUUUUCCACGUCGCAAGUUCUUUUAUAAACGAAGAGGAACGAAAUUAAUUCCGACGGAAAUUCAUUAUAACCGCCGUCUAAUAACAAUUAAACGACGUUAUUUGUAAUACGGCUCCCAUCAUAAUCUACGCCGUCUAUAUGUUCUGUAAUACGGCUCUCAUUUAUUUGGAACCGACGUUGUUUAGACGUUCAACGUCGUCUAUAUUAUUAAGUGCGUCGUGAGUAAUGAAUACAUAUAAAUACAACGUCGACUAUAUAAAUGUAUACGUCGUAAAUAAUGACACUGACAACUAUUUCCACGUCAUCUUUUUUAGAUAAAAUCGAAGUGGAAAAUUUAUUUCACGACGGUUUUUUGUAAAUAAGAGACGUUGUAGAACUUUAGCAGACUAAACACGUCUGUUUUUAUUGUUUUCCGACGUUGUUGUAUUUAACAACGUCUAAUAUUUAUGGUCGUUGUUUGUUUCUGAAAAUAGGACGUAUAAAUUUUUUAAUACGACUCUCAUAUAUUUGUAACUGACGUUGUUUAGUUUUUCAACGUCUACUAUAGAAACACAUACGUCGUAAAUAAUGACACUGACAACUAUUUCCACGUCAUCUUUUAUCAAAAAAUCGAAGUGGAAAAUUAAUUGUACGACGGUUGUGUUUAUAUGUGCGACGUAGUAGGUAUCAAUAACAUCGUCUUCUAAUGUAUUUAAAGACGUCAUAUUUUUUAUUGUCGUGAAAAUUAUAUUUAACGUCGGCGUAUUUUUAUUGUCGUCGUUGUAUGUCUAUCUUGCGGCCUUGUUCUCUUAAUAUGUGUCAUAUUUUCCCUUUUUAACGACGGUCUUUUUAGAGAAUUGGUCGUCUAUUAUCAUCAUCGAUUGCUUUUUUUAGAUCUUUUUGCAGUACAAAGACGUCGUUUUGUAUUUUUUGAUGACGUUGUAUUGUUUAACAACGACGGUUAUUUAGCGUCGUGGUUUAUGAGGGAAAAGAUGACGGUGGAUUCCACGACCAUUGAAAAACCAAAUACACGACGGUGAUUUACCGUCGUCUUUUUGCUUUUUUGUAGUAGUGAUCGGAAACUUGACUAAUUAGAAUACAACAUAUGUCGAAAUAUUUUUAUCAUAAAUGGUCUCUAAGGUUCGUGAAAUUAUUAGCUUUAGUCCUUCAUGUUUUUUUGUGACAUCAUUGGUCCUUUAUGUUACUCCUCUUCACACAUCAAUUUGGUUCUGCCGUUUGGAUUCGUCAAAAUUUAUGUUAAAUUGAUGGCAUGACAUGUAUAUGGUGCCUACAUAUCCAAUGAGAUAAUGACCCGUGGAUCUAAGUAAAAAAUUUGUUUUAAAAAAAUAGUUUCAUAUUUAAAAUUUUUAAAGGGCGAAGACUCAUUGGGUAACUCGAAGUUUGGGUUGUUGAAGCCUUCAAGCAUGGUUUUGCUCACAAAAGAUUGGAACGCAAUGUGUUGGGUUGAGCACUGAAAACCAAAGAAUAUCAAAAAUGUAGUAGGGGGGAGAGAGAGAGAGAGANNNNNNNNNNNNNNNNNNNNNNNNNNNNNNNNNNNNNNNNNNNNNNNNNNNNNNNNNNNNNNNNNNNNNNNNNNNNNNNNNNNNNNNNNNNNNNNNNNNNACCUCAUGUCAGCACUUAAUAGAAAAUUUGACGGACCCUAACGGCAUGGAUCAAAUUGAUGUGUGGUGUGUAACAAAAAGGAUCAAUAAUGUCACAAAAAACAUAAAGGACCAAAGUUGAUAAUUUUGCGAACCUUAUACACCAUUUAUGAUAAAAACCCUAUAUUGUAUAAUUUUAGUGUGUUUUUUUCUUAAAUGCUAUUGAGAAGAGAUUUUAUAAAACUGCUAUAUAAAAGGUUCACCACAAUGCUAUAAAACAAUAGUAGAUUAUGGCUCUCAGAUGUUUUCAUCUUCUUAUUCAUCCAAGCAGAUCGAUAACAUAUGGUCACUACUGACUUUUUCUUGUAGUUCUCAACAUCCAUCUUUCAAGCCAUCAACCAAGUUGUUGCAUUGCUCCUCACUGUUAGAAAAGCCUCGUUUCCCUCCUCCUCCUCCAUUGAUUGAAGGAGAGACAACAAAAGCAACUUAUGAAACAAGCCCCUCAUUUCCUUGUUAAACAUAAAUCGACCCAUUAUUGAUGAGGACUGAGAAUCUAAGAGCACACUAGUAAUUAACCUGAGUGGGGAAUAUGGAUGAUGGAUCUCUCUCUCUCUCUCUCUCUCUUGAAAAAAUCAACUUCAUUAUCCUUGGUGAAUUUGUUCUGAAUUAGUCGUGUCCAGCUACAAGCAAUACUGUACGUAGUAUAUUAUUCUCUGCAUUUGUGCAUGCCAACAACAAACAAAUAUUAUUCUCUAUUAUAGCAUAUAGGCCGUCAUUUUCAAUCCUUAUAAGAGAAAACUUGCUUCGCCAUAAGAGUACGUAGCUUGGCAAGCAAGGUAAGGGUACUUCAAAAGAUUCCUUCCAUCAUCUAUAUAAGACACAUGUGACAUUGCAUGUCUCAUCAAUCAUGUUAAGAUAAAGCUAGCUGGCAAGGCAAAUUACCAACCUUUAUGCUCGAGUAUAUUAUUCCAAGCAGAUAUAAAUGUUAAUAUAUGUGAAGAAUAUUAUGAUCAAUAUAGAAUAUGUAUCAUGAUCAGUUAUGGUAUCGACUGUCAGAAAAUAUCAUCCGCAUAUGUGCAUACCAACAUUAUCGAAAGACAGUAGGAGUAUCGUCAUAUCCGAUACAAGUAUCGGAGCAUGGGUAAGAGUAUAUAUACAAGCAUACCCGUCCAAUUAGGAGAAUCAGUGCAACAUAGAUGAAAAGAAAUUAGAUGUGAUUUCACAUAUUUUUAAAGAAUAGGGGAAAUAAACCAAUUAAUCUCUUUUGUCUUCUCCAUACAUUUUUGGUUGUGAAUUUUGGUUUUCGAAGAAUUUGGCAUUUCAAGCAACUUGGAAAACAUUUUGAUGAUCCAUUGAACCUUGUUAAAGUCGAUAUUCAAUCUCUAUGGACUUUGGCCGAAAUGUCUCAUUUCAAUUGGAAAGUGACAUUGAGAUUUGAAAAGACUAGACAUUAAGGUGGCAAGAGAAGUCUAAAAGGAUCAAACAGAAAAAAAUAAUGAAAAAUUGAAAAUAACCUAGAAAGGGGAGAAAAAAUUAGUUGCAAUAGGGAUAAUAAUGUUUGAGUAAUGCUAAACGAACUCUAAAAUUAACUUAGUACACCCUACUAUCAAACUAUUUAUUGAAUUACUAAUUUACCCUAAUAUAAAAUGACCAAAAAGGAUAUAUUGAAUUGUGCAGCAAAUGUAAUUUUAAUAAGUACACAUUACUCACCAUAUUCAACCCUAAUAUUCGAUGGAGGCGACAUUGAAUGCUAUGAAUCCAACCCAAACCCACCACCACCGUCCCUCUCUCUCUCUCUCUCUCUCUCUCUCUCUCUCUCUCUCUCUCUCUCACAAAUUAUCUUAUUUGCUCUAAAUUUUUUGCAAUGAGUCAGAAUCUUCUAUGUGUAUGUGGCAUUCGUUCAUUAGACUUGGUUAAUGCAUUCAACCCACCCAAAACAAUAAUCAUUUGAUGUUCAUCCUCGAUGUUGGUGGUUUCAAGUGAGCAUGUUCCCAAACGGCUCUUACACUUGCCCACUAGAACUCCAGCUCCUCACCCUCUGAUGAAUCUAAUGACAAUUAUGUUGUUGUUUGCACCAUAAACACCAACUUCCAACAACUCCAAUACAACCUAUUUCUUCUUAAUUAGAUACCUUGGGGGUUGAUAGCAACCUCAAUAGUCUAAGAAACAAACCCACUUCGGAAUUUUCCUUCUUCCACUAGUUGAAGGGAGAUGGGUUCCAACACGAUAUUACGCGCUUAUUAGAAUCUUAUACUCGUCGAGUCUGGGUUGGCUGGUGAUAAGCAGGGGAAGGGUGGAGUUGGGUUGUGUUAGAGAGAGAGAGAGAGAGAGAGAGAGAGAGAGAGAGAGAGAGAAAGAGAAAGAGAGAGAGAAGGGCGGUAGUGGUUGGGUUGGGUUGGAUGCGAAAGGGCUUAAAUCAGAGGAGGAAGGACGGGUUUGGCUGGGUGGGUGACAGGACCCGACCCAAUUUCCGCUUUGGAAUCCGAGCUGAAUCCUGUGCGUGUCCGACACCUGGCGAAUGUCGGGCACGAAUGACCUUUUUACCCUUCUCUUUUCAAAUUCUUUUUUUUUUUAAACUUCCCUUAGACUUCUACCGAAAAUUCGACAGAGUCUCCCCUGUAUUUUGACCAAACCCAAAGUCUUCCACCUGUCAAACAGUCUCAAAUAACACACCAACUACCAGACUAACUCAACCAACAGAUCUCAACUCCAGUUUCUCAUGUUCAACAAGAUAUCAAAGCAUUUCUAUACAAAUUUACAGAACUAUGAGAAAGUUACAACGAGAUCCUACACUUUGGGGGUGGGGCGAAAGCUGGGAAGAUGGCCCGAGUGGUUUCCUUCGUACUUCUAUGGCCUGGGGGCGAAAAACAAGGUUAAAAUUGUGAGUGGACAAAAAUAAAAUUCUUUAAAACAAAAACAAGUUAGAACAUAAUAACCCCCGUUUUGAAAUACUAGGGAUAUAAAUCGUUAAUUUAGCUAUAUUUCAAUAUAAGGAAUUCAAUAAACAUGAAUAAAUAUACUGACGAAUAAACUUGCAUAACUGAUCAAAUAUAUAUAAAGAUAAUAACGCAUGAAUAUCAAGAAACUGGUAUAAAAUCACGGGAAAUCAUAACUGGAUAAAAGAGCUCAAAAUCCUUUGAAACUACCACCUAGAUGUACCCCUGUCAUAUCCGUCAAUUCCCCUGGCAGGUCUCGGGCGUCACGCAGUCUACCCGAGCCGCAAACUGGCGAAAUCAAGGGACUAUGAUCAGCCUGAUCCGCCGGCAGGUCUCGAUGACACCAAGUCGACUCGAGCCGCUCUGGCAGGAUGCAGGGGACCGCAGUCAGCCUGAUCCGCAAUCCUGGCAGGUCUCGGGGACACAGAGUCAGCCGAGCCGCAAAUCCUGGCAGGUCUCGGGACACCAAGUCUGCCGAGCCGCAAAUUCUGGCACUCACGGUCCGAGCGUCCCCGAAACUCGUGAGGCAAAGUCAAGUGCACUGACGUAACUGAAAUCAGACUGGAUGUUCGUAGACAUCGGUCCGACUGUGGGUAAUCACCAUAAAUAGAUGGGUACAUGGUGGUUUAACAAGAAAUUCUGAUAACUCUCUGAAAUCUGAUAAGUCUGAACUAAAUUACUAUCUUUGUAUCAAAAGUCUCAAGUUUACUGCUCAACCAAUAUUAUAAAAAUAAAGAUAUUUCACAAUGCAAAUCAUGCUUCGAAAUUACGUAAUAACACUUAUUCAAGAUCAAAUAGAAAAUAUAAUUAUAAAAUCUUUUAGGAAAGAAAAGUCCACUCACUGUUGGUCCGAGCUAUCUGGACCCUUCGAAGAUCCCUCAUGUGGGUCAACUGGACCUCUGGUGCCUUACUCGAUUGAUUUGGUGGAGAAUUGAAGGAGAACGAAGGAGAUGAAGUUUGGAUGAAAAACAGGCGGAAAUCGCCAGUUUCCGGCCAAUUCCCGGCGGUCCAAGGCCGGCGACGGGUCGAGGAAGGGAGGCGGCGGCGAGGCGGACCGAUUGACACCAACGGCGGAGGUCGCCGUGCCCUGUAGCGACGGCACGCUCGAUCUGAAACAGGGAGGGGGGCGGCGGUUGCGACGGGAGAGAGAGAGAGAGAGGAGAGAGAAAUGAGGAGAGAGAAGAGAGAAGGAAGAGAUAAAAUCUGACUUUUUUUUCAAAUUACCGUUUUGCCCUUCGAGGUAAUUUAAUCGUAUCUUCUUCAUUACAAUUCCAAUUCGGGUCUACUCCGUGUCUACGGACUCGUUUCGCCGUGCUCUACGCAACGGCGCAAGCGAAAUUCUCAAAUUCUUUCUUGAUCAAAAAGUCAAAUUUUCCCCUAUUAAAAUAUGCGAGGGCAAAAUCGUCUUUUGGGUAGAAUAAAGAAAUCCUAAUUUUUAGAUAUUUUAGUUUGGGUUAUUACAGUGGGGGGUGGAGAGAUGAUGGGAGGUCGAUUUAACAGGGUUAAGUGUUGUUAAGUGGUUUACCACAUGUCAAAAAAAUAGAAGGAAAACAUGUCGGGCACAUGGCAUUUGGUAACAGUAAAAUUGGACUCAUGAAUGAGUUAGGUGUUGUGUGAUAGAGUGUAUUAGGGUGUACCAUGGGUAUUUUUAGUAGUUAAAUAGGAUGUACUGAGUUAAUUUUAUAAUUUGAUUUAAAUAUUAGGGUAUACUUAGAUCAUAGGGUGUACUCAGUUAAUUUUAAGGUUUGUUUAGCAACAUUCUAAUGUUUUGUUAUCCCCGGUCAAUAAUUUUAUAUCGUGUGGCUUAGAAGGAGGCCUGUUAUCCAACUCAUCUGGUCCACCGUCCAUGAUAUGAACCCGACUUGAGAAUCUUUUGGUGAAGUAGAACAACCCAACUUGAGAGUUGAGGCAGCCAAACUAGAAGGGAAGCAUCCCCACUCCAGUCCCGCUCCCCAUGUGCCCAAUACUUUGCUUGUUUACUUCACCUUUUAAACCUUUUAGGAUUUUCCAUAGGCUAAGAGGAAAACAACAACAUUACGGCCCAGUUUACGAAUGGAUUCGAGGGGAAAUUACUUCCCAUGCCAUUUUUUAAGGGAUGGAAAAUGGAGAUUCAUUUCCCAUAUUUGAUAAUCCUAGGAAAGUAACUAAGAAAUACUACUUUAUUUCCUUUCACAUAUUUGGUUUGUGUAGGAAUGUAAAACAAAGUUAGUUUAAUUUUUCAAUUAUAUCCAUAUGAAAUUAAAUUUUAAAAAAAAUGUAUUUAAUGCUAUAUUGUUAAUGGGGACAAUAUGGUCAUGAAAAAUGUGUAUUUAAUGUUGGCUAAUUUUCUCAAACUUUCUCAUGUGCAAGACAACGAUUUCUCAUGCCUAGACUUACCAAAUAUGGGAAAGCAAUUGAUUUCUCAUCACCAAGCCUCCUUUCCCAUGAACCAAACAGGACCUACAAGUUAUUAGCUUCAAGCCUUCAAGGAUUUUCAUAACAAAUCUUCCAAUCUCACACAAAAAUAAAAAAGCAUCCAUGUAUGUAAUUUCUAGAUUAAAAUCUCACUUUUUAGGCAUUCCAUUUUCUUAGGAUUAGGUAUUACUACGCACGGACAAUCUUACGAUUAUCUGCAAUUCAUCCUUCAAUAGCUAUGGACGUUAUAUCAAAUCAACAAUAAGACGUACAUUUCUUCAAAGAACUAAAUCAUGCGGAUGUCAACUUGCUCUCACUUAUAUGUUUGUCUCUCCAUAUGAGGAAGGGUGUUUAGCUUAAGGUUUUAGGGCGCGGUUGUCUAAGAACAAUAAGGUGAACAUGUUUUGUCAAAGUACAUGGGAGACCUUUAUCUUCAAACACAAAAAAUGGCCAAAAUUAAAUUAGCAAGGAUCGACAUAUGGAUGUGAGCUUUUACACAUUGCCACUAAUUCUCUCCAUACUUUUGUUGAAAUCAUUUACAAAAUAAGAAAACUUUAGUAAUUGAAGCGAAAGAGAAGAAUUACCAGAACAGAAAAUAAGAAAAAAGAAGCACCUAACCCAAACUUUAAGUCACGAAUUUAACAGUUUACUUUUUAAAAAAAGUAAGUUACAAAACAAUCCCCUUAUUGAUGAGGAUUGAGAAUUUAAGAGCACUAAUAACUUGAGUGAGGAAUAUUGCACAUGGACGAUGGAUCUCUCUCUCUCUCUUUGAAAAAAAAGAAAAAAGAAACAAAAAUCAACUUCAUUAUCCUUAGUGAAUUUGUUCUGGAUUAGUUGUGUUGCAAUGGAACAUCGAACCUACCUAGCUAAAAGGAAAAAAGAAAGGCCACUACGACAGUACUGCAGUAUAUUAUUCCAAGAAGACAAAUGUAAACUAUAUACGUGAAGAAUAUCUAUUAUUGGUCGUCAUUUUCAAUCCUCAUAAAAGAAAACUUACUUCGCCAUAAUUUCAGGUUGUUCUCAAGGCAGGAAGGUAAGGACACUUGAAAAGAUUCCUUCUCAUCAUCUAUACAAGGAAAUGUGUUCUCAUCAAGCUAGGGGACAAGGCAAAUUAGCAACCUUUAUACUCGAUAUAUUAUUCCAAGCAGAUAUACAUGUGAAGAAUAUUAUGAUCUUGAUCAAUAUGGAAUCAGUGGGUGUAUCGAUCGACCAUCCAAAGAAAAAGGAUAUCCUCUGCAUAUAUGUGUGCAUGCCAACAACUAUAAAAGGAGACCAUGAGGCAAUGAGUUGAUCAUCAAAGCAAACACACAGAUAUCCCAACUAAAAAUCAUUCAGUGAGACAAUGGCUGGAACCAAUGAUAUUAAAAUUAAAGGGUUCGAUUUGAGCAAAAACAGCGGCAACACGUCCGGAUUAACCCACUUCGCCAACAGAGCUGACGAGGGCGACAAGGGCGACAAUAAAAUCGAGGUUGAGGAUGCUAAAGCGCAAGAUAACAAGGGAAACUUGAAAGUACUGACCGACUUCGCCCAACGUGGUAAGGUGGGCCAGUCGGAUCGCCAAGAAAUCACGGGGAGCAAGCCACUUCAGACGGCAGCAUGAAAUUGAUGAAGGCCAUACCAUAAUAAAAUAUCUACACUAAAAUAAGAGCUGAUGCAGUAUCUGAGGCUCCUUCCUUGGUUAGGCCUCAUUAUCAUGUGCAAUACUAAUAUUAUUAUUCUAAUAAAAUAAUGGUAGCUUAUUAUUAAAUAUAUCAAAAUUCUAUACGUAUAACUUUUAGAUUAUUGAUACUGAUGACAUACCAACAAGAGAAAACGAUUCAAAAGUCCUUUCUCCAAUUCGUGAUGUUACAAAAUGAGACGUCAAAUUUAAAAAUAUAGUUGCAUACGAGUAUAAACUGAACCAAUAAGCAAUGUAUGAGUGACCAAAGGUCUCAAACGAUGCAUUUAAGAAGAAGGGUACUAAAUUAAAAGAUGUACGCCAGUGAACUAUGGCAAUCUCUCGUUGCAUGCACGCAUAUGCAAUUGAAGAAGACCUAACUUAUAUCACGAAGAAGUGGAUGGGUCUUUACAUAUGAAGUUUUUAAAAUUAACACUACCGGAAGACAAUAGGAGUAUCGGCGUAUCUGAUACAAGUAUCGGAGUCUCGGAGUAUUAGAUUUGAGCAUACCUGUCCAAAUAGGAGUAUCGGUGCAACAUAGAUGAAAAGGAAUUGGAUGUGAUUUCACAUAUUUUUAAAGAACAGGGGAAAUAAACCAAUUAAUCUCUUUCGUCUUGUCCACACAUUUCUUGUUGCAAAUUUUGGUUUUCAAAAAAUUUGGCAUUUCAAGCAACUUGGAAAACAUUUUGAUGAUCCAUUAUUGAACCUCUAAAGUCGAUAUUCAAUCCCUAUCGACCUUGCUCAAAAAAUGUCUCAUUUCAAUUAGUGCAGAGAAAAAUAAAGGCAGAGUUGAAAAUAGAUUUUUCAGUUUGGAAAGUGACAUUGAGAUGUAAAAAGACUAGACAUUAAGGUGGCAAGAGAGAUCUAACAGGAUCAGACAAAAAAGGAAAAAAAAAUGAAUGAAAAAUAGAAAAUGCCCUAGAAAGGGGAGAACAACUUAGUUGCAAUGGGGAUAACAAUAUCUUGCUAUUACUGGUCAAUAAUUUUAUACCACGUGGCCUAGAAGGAGGCCUGUUAGUCCAACUCAUCUGGUCCACUUCCCAUUAUAUGAACCCGACUUGAGAGUUUUGGUUUUUUGGUUGAAGUAGAACAACCCGACUUGAGAAUUGAGGCAGCCAAACUAGAAGGGAAGCAGCCCACUCCACUCCCGCUCCCCAUGUGCCCAGUACUUCGCUUGUUUACUUCACCUUUUAAACCUUUUAGGAUUUUUUUUAUAGGAUAAGAGGAAAACGACGACAUUACAAGUUAUUACGCAUCAACGUAUGUAAUUUCUAGAUUAAAAUCUCACUUUUUACGCAUGUCAUUAUCUUAGGAUUAUGUAUUACUACGCACUGACAAUCUUACGAUUAUCUGCAAUUCAUCCUUCAAUGACCAAAGACGUUAUAUCAAAUCAACAAUAAGACAUACAUUUCUCCAAAUAACUAAAUUAUGUGGAUUUCAACUUGCUCUCAUUUAUAUGUUUGUCUCUCUCCUCCUAUUGAUUAGCCUCUCCAUAAGAGCAAAUAUGAAAAAAGAAGCUCCCAAUCCGAACUUUAAGUCACAAGUUUAACAGUUUACUUUUAAACAAAAGCAAGUUACGAAACAAUCCCCUGAUUUCCUUGUUAAACAUCAACCGACCCAUUAUUGAUGAGGAUUGAGAAUCUAAGAGCAUAUGGACGAUGGAUCUCUCUCUCUUUUUGAAAACAAAAACAAAAACAAAAAACAAAAAUCAACUUCAUUAUCCUUGGUGAAUUUGUUCUGGAUUAGUUGUUUUGAAUUAGUACAGCUUACGUACGCAAUGGAACAUCGAACUUAGCUAGCUAAAAGGAAAAAAGAAAGGCCACUACUACAGUACCGCAGUAUAUUAUUCCAAGAAGACAAAUGUAAACUAUAUACGUGAAGAAUCUCUAGUAUUGGUCGUCAUUUUCAAUCCUUAUAAAAGAAAGCUUGCUUCGCCAUAAUUUCAGGUUGUUCUCAAGGCAGGCAGAGAGAGUACGUAGCUUGGCAAGAAAGGUAAGGGCACUUCAAAAGAUUGUUUCUCAUCAUCUAUAUGAGGAAAUGUGUUGCCAUCAAGCUAGCGGACAAGGCAAAUUAGCAACCUUUAUACUCGAUAUAUUAUUCCAAGCAGAUAUACAUGUAAAUAUAUGUGAAGAAUAUUAUGAUCAUGAUCAAUAUAGAAUCUGUAUCAUGAUCAGAGGGUAUCGAUCCAGCAUCCAAAGAAAAAGGAUAUACUCUGCAUAUGUGCAUGCCAACAACUAUAAAAGGAGACCAUGAGGCAAUGAGUCGAUCAUCAACGGAAACACACAGAUAUCCCAACUAAAAAUCCAUCGUGAGACAAUGGCUGGAACCAAUGAUAUUAAAAUUAAGGGGUUUGAUUUGAGCAACAACAAAGGCAACACGUCGGGAUUAACCCACUUCGCCAACAGAGCUGACGGGGGCGACAAUGGCAACAAUAAAAUCGAGGUUGAGGAUGCUAAAGGGCAAGGGAACACGGGAAACUUGAAAGUACUGACCGACUUCGCCCAACGCGGUAAAGUGGGCCAGUCGGAUCGCCAAGAACUACUCAAACCUCAGGCAUGAAAUUGAAGAAGGCCAGACCACAACAACUUGUCUGCUUGAUAGAUAUAUGUGCUAAAUUAUCUACACAAAAAUAAGAGCUGAUGUUUUAUCUGAGGCUCCUUCCUUGGUUAGGCCUCGUUAUCAUGUGUAAUAUUAAUAUUAUUAUUCUAAUAAAAUAAUGGUAGCUUAUUAUUAAAUAUAUCAAAAUUCUAUACGUAUAACUUUUAGAUUAUUGAUACUGAUGUCAACAAGAGAAAAUGAUUAAAAAGUCCUUUCUCCAAUUCGUGAUGUUACAAAAUGAGACUUCAAAUUUUAAAACUAUAGUUGCAUACGAGUACAAAACUGAACCAAACAAUGUAUGGGCCAGAGUGACCAAGGAUGUACGCCAGUGAACUAAUGGCAAUCUCUCGUUGCAUGCACGCAUAUGCAAUUGAAGGAGGCAUUAUCUGAGGCUCCUUCCUUGGCUAGGCCUCAUUUUCAAUUUUGAUUUCAACUUUGAUUUUGCUUAAACUUUGAUUUUGAGCUAGACUGUGAUUUCGACUUUGAUCUCCCAAUUCGUGCCUUAAGAAUCAGUUUCUCCCAACUCUAUUUACCAAAACCGAAAACUCUGAACUUUUCAAUUCGUCUGGCUACUCUCAGGGUUUCAUGCCUUAGUUUCCUCUCGCCAAAAAGCCAAAAAGACUUGGCUUUCAUGUAAUGCUAUACUCCUCGAUUGAACAAGCCGCGUCUUCAAAUUCAGCUUUCUCACUUCCUUUCUCUUUACUUUCUUUCUUUUGUUUUCCGGCUGGGAAAAUCAUGGAAGCAUUACAAAUUUAAGAGAAUAUUCUAGUAUUAGGGUCCAAACUGUACUAUUUAGGUAUUUUCAUUCUGAUUAAGAGUUCUUUUCUAGAAAUUUGGGGAAGAAAAAAUAGAGUUUCUGUUUUAGUGUUUGAUUUUCAUUACAGUGAAUUAUGUGAAACCGAAAUGUUUCUUGUCUGAUUUCAUCACUGCUUUCAAAUUGCAAAUUAAGGAUUUGAAGGUUAACAAUGCCCGUCUUUAACAAUGUCGCAUUUCAAUUAGUACAAAAGAAAAAUAAAGGCAUAGUUGAAAAUAGAUUUUUCAGUUUCGAAAGUGACAUUGAGAUUUAAAAAGACUAGACAUUAAGAUGGCAAGAGAGAUCUAAAAGGAUCAAACAAAAAAAGUGAAUGAAAAAUUGAAAAUGCCCUAGAAAGGGAGGAAAUCUUAGUUGCAAUGGGGAUAACAAUGUUUUGCUAUCCUCGAACAAUAAUUUUACACCACGUGACCUAGAAGGAGGCAUGUUAAUCUAACUCAUCUGGUCCACCGUCCAUGAUAUGAACCCGACUUGUGAGUUUUUUUUUUUUUUUGUUGAAGUAGAACAACCAAACUUGAGAGUUGAUGUCACAUCUCAGGAUCGGCUUCACCGUAGCACGAUAUUGUCUGCUUUGGGCCCCCUCGCUGUCCUCGCGGUUUUGUUUCUAGGAGCUCACGAGCAACUUCUCAGUUGGUCACUCAUCUUAGGAUUGCUCUGGCCCAAACUCACUUAACUUCGGAGUUCUCAUGACUCCGAAGCUAGUGAGCUCCUAAAAGGCCUCGUACUAAAUGGAAGUGGGCAUAUAUAUAUAAGGCACAACACCCCAUCUUCGUUGGUUGAUGUGGAAUGUUACAAUCCACCCCCCUUAGAGGUCUGACUUCCUCGUCGGCACACUCUCACCACACGGCAGAGUGGCUCUGAUACCAAACUGUCACAUCCCGGGAACGGCUCCGUCGUAGCACGAUAUUGUCCGCAUUGGGCCAACCUUUCUGCCCUCACGGUUUUGUUACUGGGAGCUCACGAGCAACUUCCCAGUGAAUCACUCAUCCUGGGAUUGCUCUAGCCCAAACUCGCUUCACUUCGGAGUUCCUAUGACUCCGAAGCCAAUUAGCUCCCAAAAGACCUCGUGCUAGAUAAAGGUGGGCACGUACAUAUAAGGCACAUCACCUUCUCUUCGUUGAUCGAUGUGGGAUGUUACAGUUGAGGGCUCCGUUGGUCGAUGUAGGAUGUUACAGUUGAGGCAGCCAAACUAGAAGGGAAGCAACCCAACUCCACUCCCUCUCCCCAUGUGCCCAGUUCUCUGCUCGUUUACUUCACCUUUUAAACAUUUUAGGAUUUUCCAUAAGCAAAGAGGAGAACGACCACAUUACGGUCUCGUUUGGUUCACGAACAGAUUUAAGGGGAAAUAACUUCUCAUGUCAUUUCUCAAGGGAUGAGAAAUGGAGAUUCAUUUCCCAUAUUUGGUAAUCCUAGGAAAAUAACAAAGAAAUACCACUUUAUUUCCUUUCACAUGUUUGGUUUGUCUAGGAAUGUAAAACAAAGUUUGUUUAAUUUUCCAAUUAUACCGAUAUGAAAUCAAAUAAAAAAAGAAUAUUUAAUGUUAUAUUGUAAUUCUAAACUGUUAAUAGGGACAAUAUGAUCAUGAAAAAUGUGUAUUUAAUGUUGGCUCAUUUGCUUAUUUUCCCAAACUUUCACAUGAGGAGGAAAACAAAACCCAAGGGGGGAGGAUGGCUUCACUUUCCCCUCUACUUUCCCAUGUACAAGGCAACGAUUUCUCAAGUCUGGACUUACCAUACAUGGGAAAGAAAUUAAUUUCUCAUCCCCAAGUCAUUUUUCCCAUAAACCAAACGGAGCCUACAGGUUAUAAGCUUCAACCUUUAAGGAUUUUCAUAACAAAUCUUGCAAUCUCAUACCAAGGAAAUAAAAAUAAAAAAAAGGAUCCAUGCGUGUAAUUUCUAGAUUAAAAUCUCACUUUUUACGCAUGCCAUUAUCUAAGGAUUAGGUAUGACUACACACGAACAAUCUUACAAUUAUCUGCAAUUCGUCCUUCAAUGGCCAAAGACGUUAUAUCAAAUGAACAAUAAGACGUACAUUUCUUCAAAGAACUAAAUUAUGUGGAUUUCAACUUGCUCUCACUUAUAUGUUUCUCUCUCUCCUCCUAUUGUUUAGCUUAAGGUUUUAGGGCGUGGUUGUCUAAGAACAAUAAGGUAAACAUGCUUACAAAAAAAGAUGGACAGCAAGGAUGGACAUAUGCGAAUGUGAGCUUUUACACAUUGCCACUAAUUUUCUCCAUGAUUUUGUUGAAAUCAUUAACAAAAUAAGAAACUUUAGUAAUUGAAGCGAAAGAGACUAAUUAUCAGAAGAGAAAAUAUGAAAAAAGAAGCUCCCAAUCCAAACUUUAAGUCACAAGUUUAACAGUUUACUUUAAAACAAAAGCAAGUUACGAAACAAUCCCCUGAUUUCCUUGUUAAACAUCAACCGACCCAUUAUUGAUGAGGAUUGAGAAUCUAAGAGCAUAUGGACGAUGGAUCUCUCUCUCUUUUUGAAAACAAAAACAAAAACAAAAAUCAACUUCAUUAUCCUUAGUGAAUUUGUUCGGGAUUAGUUGUGUUGAAUUAGUACAGCUUACUUACGCAAUCGAAUAUCAAACCUAGCUAGCUAAAAAGAGAAAAAGAAAGGCCACAACGACAGUACUGUAGUAUACGUGAAGAAUCUUAUGAUCUAUAAUAUUCUGUAUUAUUGGCCAUCAUUUUCAAUCCUUAUUAAAGAAAACUUGCUUCGCCAUAAUUUCAAGUUGUUCUGAAGGCAGGCAUAGAGAGCACGUAGCUUGGCAAGGGAGGUAAGGGCACUUCGAAAGAUUCCUUCUCAUCAUCUAUACAAGGAAAUGUGUUCUCAUCAAGCUACGGGACAAGGCAAAUUAGCAACCUUUAUACUCAGAUAUAUUAUUCCAAGCAGAUAAACAUGUAAAUAUAUGUGAAGAAUAUUAUGAUAAUGAUCAAUAUAGAAUCUGUAACAUUAUCAGAGGGGUAUCGAUCGACCAUCCAAAGAAAAGGAUAUCCUCUGCAUAUGUGCAUGCCAACAACUAUAAAAGGAGACCAUGAGGCAAUGAAUCAUCAAAGCAAAGACACAGAUAUCCCAACUAAAAAUCAAUCAGUGAGACAAUGGCUGGAACUGGAACCAAUGAUAUUAAAAUUAAAGGGUUCGAUUUGAGCAACAACAGCGGCAACACGUCGGGAUUAACCCACUUCGCCAACAGAGCUGAUGGGGGCGACAAGGGCGACAAUAAAAUCGAGGUUGAGGGUGCUAAAGCGCAAGAUAACAAGGGAAACUUGAAAGUACUUACCGAUUUCGCCCAACGCGGUGAAGUGGGCAGGUCGGAUCGCCAAGAACUUCUCAAGCCUCAGGCAUGAAAUUGAAGAAGGCCAUACCAUAUAUGUGCUGAAUUAUCUACACAAAAAUAAGAGCUGAUGUUUUAUCUGAGGCUCCUUCCUUGGUUAGGCCUCGUUAUCAUGUGUAAUAUUAAUAUUAUUAUUCUAAUAAAAUAAUGGCAGCUUAUUAUUAAAUAUAUCAAAAUUCUAUACGUAUAACUUUUAGAUUCUUGAGUGGGAAACCCUAGCUGCAUUCUGGUCCCUUUUCUUCUUGCCGACAACCAACCACAAGGAAACUAAAGGGGGAGGUGGCCACUGCCCCUCCCCCCCUUCGCCCAUCUUCCCUUUCUCUCCUCAUCUUCCCUUCUUUUUCUCCCAUCUUUUCCCUUCCUCUUAUGCCCUCUUCUCUUCCCAUUCCCUUUCCCAUAUAGUCUAGAUCUAUUUGGAUCUAGGUUUUGUUUGUUUGUUUGUUUGGUUUGGUUUGGUUGUUUUUGCAGUAUUCUAGGUGACUGGUAGUGACGUUGGAUUGUGUCUAUUAUCGGGAGAGUUGUGAUACCUAGUGGCUGAUGUUUUGUCUCUGUUUCAACGACGGCGGCAGUAGCGACACUAGUGAUAGUUAUUGGAUGUGGUGCUCUUCUUUAUUCUGCACUUACCGAAGAACUAUGCUUGGUCAUAGGAGGUUUUCUUUGUCAGAUUCUGAGUUGAAGUGGAGUGCUUCUUAGGGGUCCUUUUAUUGUUGCUUCUAUGUUCCUCCUCUGUGUUCUCUCCUGUUUUCUGUUAUGGUAUGCCUUGUAGUUUGUAUGGGUGUCAAAAUACUAUGAUUUUGCUCAUAGAAGGCUUCUUUUGACAGUUGGGAUAUUCUACGAUCCUCUUCUGUGGGUUUACUAUUUGGGGUUUCUGUCGUUCUCUCAUGUGGGUGUACUAUGUUGGUAUCUAGUUGAGGUUUUCGUCGGAGUUCUUUUUGUUAGUUUUCGUUUUUGAUUUGUUCUUUUAUUGUAAUGGUCCAAAGCGACCAGAAUUAAACUCUCUUGUUAGUCCAUGACAUGUGUGGUACUCUUUUCUCCCCGGGGUUUGUCCCUUGAGAUUGCCCUAGGAAGGUUUUAACGAGGCCACUAUAUCAUGUUGCUCAUUGUACGUCUUUGGUUCUAUUAAUUAAUUCUCUUUCUUAAAAAUAACAAAAAUAAAUAAAUAAAUAAAUAAAAAUUUAGAUUAUUGAUAACGAUGUCAACAAGAGAAAAUGAUUAAAAAGUCCUUUCUCCAAUUCGUGAUGUUACAAAAUGAGACUUCAAAUUGUAAAACUAUAGUUGGAUACGAGUAUAAAACUGAACCAGGCAAUGUAUGGGCCAGAGUGACCAAGGUUGUACGACAGUGAACUAAUGGCAAUUUCUCGUUGCAUGCACGCAUAUGCAAUUGAAGAAUGCCAUAAUAAUAUGUGUUUUUACUAAAUUAUCUACACUAAAAUAAAAACUGAGGCAUUAUCUGAGGCUCUUUCCUUGGCUAGGCCUCAUUUUCAAUUUUGAUUUCAACUUUGAUUUCGCUUAAACUUUGAUUUUGAGCUAGACUGUAAUUUCGACUUUGAUUCUGAUUCUCUCCCAAUUCAUGCCUUAAGAAUCAGUUUCUCCCAACUCUAUUUACCAAAACCAAAAACUCUAAACUUUUCAAUUCGUCUGGGUACUCUCAGAGUUUCAUGCCCUAGUUUCCUCUCGCCAAAAAGCCAAAAAGACUUGGCUUUCAUGUAAUGCUAUACUCCUCGAUUGAACAAGCUGCGUCUUCAAAUUCAACUUUCUCACUUCCCUUCUCUUUACUUUCUUUUCUUUUGUUUUCCAGCCCGGAAAAUCAUGGAAGCAUUACAAAUUUAAGAGAAUAUUCUAGUAUUAGGGUCCAAACUGUACUAUUUAGGUAUUUUCAUUCUGAUUAAGAGUUCUUUUCUAGAAAUUUGGUGAAGAAAAAAUAGAGUUUCUGUUUUAGUGUUUGAUUUUCAUUAUAGUGAGUUAUGUGAAAUCGAAAUGUUUCUUGUGUGAUUUCAUCACUGCUUUCAAAUUGCAAAUUAAGGAUUUGAAGGUUACAAAUUAUUAUGUAGAUAAUUUUUGGGAAUUUAAGAGGCAGUACAGUGUUUGUAUAAGUCUUGAGAUAGACCAAUUUACCACAUGCUCGAUUUCUAUAUAUAAAUUUUUUUAAAUCAUUCUUUUGUUUUAUUUAUUCUGUUAAUUUGUCAUAAUGUGUAAUAUGAUAGCUUCUAAUUCUUUCUUCCUAUUUCUUCUUUUUUGUUAUUCUCUCCCAAAUGAAAUGAAGACCUAACUUAUAUCAAGAAGAAGAGGAUGGAUCCUUACAUAUGAAGAUUUUAAAAUUAACAUUAUUGGAAGACAGUAGGAGUAUCGGCAAUUUGAUACAAGUAUCGGAGUAUCAAAUACGAGCAUGCCCGUCUUUAACAAUGUCUCAUUUCAAUUAGUACAAAAGAAAAAUAAAGGCAGAGUUCAAAAUAGAUUGUUCAGUUUCGAAAGUGACAUUGAGAUUUAAAAAGACUAGACAUUAAGAUGGCAAGAGAGAUCUAAAAGGAUCAAACAAAAAAAAUGAAUGAAAAAUUGAAAAUGCCCUAGAAAGGGAGGAAAUCUUAGUUGCAAUGGGGAUAACAGUAUUUUGCUAUCCUCGAUCAAUAAUUUUAUACCACGUGACCUAAGGAGGCAUGUCAAUCUAGCUCAUCUGGUCCACCGUCCAUGAUAUGAACUCGACUUGAGAGUUUUUUUUUUUUUUUUUUUUUUUUUUUGGGGUUGAAGUAGAACAACUAGACUUGAGAGUUGAUGUCACAUCUCAAGGUCGGUUCCACCGUAGCACGAUAUUGUCUGCUUUGGGCCCCCUCUUUGUCCUCGCGGUUUUGUUUUUAGGAGCUCACGAGCAACUUCCCAGUUGGUCACCCAUCUUGGGAUUGCUCUAGCCCAAACUCACUUAACUUCGGAGUUCUCAUGACUUCGAAAUCAGUGAGCUCCCAAAAGGCCUCGUGCUAAAAGGAGGUGGGCAUAUACAUAUAAGGCGCAACACCCCCUCUCCGUUAGUCGAUGUGGAAUGUUACAAUCCACCCCCUUUAGAGGUCCGACGUCCUCGUCGGCACAGUCUCACCACACGGCAGAGUGGCUCUAUGCCAAAUUGUCGCAUUCCGGGAUCGGCUCCGUCGUAACACGAUAUUGUCCGCGUUGGGUCAACCUCUCUGCCCUCACGAUUUUGUUUCUGGGAGCUUACGAGCAACUUCCCAGUAGAUCACUCAUCCAAACUCGCUUAACUUCGGAGUUCCCAUGACUCCGAAGCCAGUGAGCUCCCAAAAGACCUCGUGCUAAAUGGAGGUAGGCAUGUACAUAUAAGGCACAUCACCUCCGCUCCGUUGGUCGAUGUGGGAUGUUACAGUUGAGGGCUCCGUUGGUCGAUGUACGAUGUUACAGUUGAGGGCUCCGUUGGUCGAUGUAGGAUGUUAUAGUUGAGGCAGCCAAAAUAGAAGGGAAGCAACCCUACUCCACUCCCUCUCCCCAUGUGCCCAGUUCUCUACUCGUUUACUUCACCUUUUAAACCCCUUCGUACUUGAAGACCUGGCUGGCAAUUUGAUUGAAGCGAAAGAGACUAAUUAUCCAUGCUUUUGUUGAAAUCAUUAACAAAAUAAGAAACUUUAGUAAUUGAAGCGAAAGAGACUAAUUAUCAAAACAGAAAAUAUGAAAAAAGAAGCUCCCAAUCCGAACUUUAAGUCACAAGUUUAACAGUUUACUUUAAAACAAAAGCAAGUUACGAAACAAUCCCCUUAUUUACUUGUUAAACAUCAACCGACCCAUUAUUGAUGAGGAUUGAGAAUCUAAGAGCACAUGGACGAUGGAUCUCUCUCCCUUUUUGAAAACAAAAACAAAAACCAACUUCAUUAUCCUUAGUGAAUUUGUUCUGGAUUAGUUGUGUUGCAAUGGAACAUCGAACCUACCUAGCUAAAAGGAAAAAAGAAAGGCCACUACGACAGUACUGCAGUAUAUUAUUCCAAGAAGACAAAUGUAGACUAUAUACGUGAAGAAUAUCUAGUAUUGGUCGUCAUUUUCAAUCCUCAUAAAAGAAAACUUACUUCGCCAUAAUUUCAGGUUGUUCUCAAGGCAGGAAGGUAAGGACACUUGAAAAGAUUCCUUCUCAUCAUCUAUAUAAGGAAAUGUGUUCUCAUCAAGCUAGGGGACAAGGCAAAUUAGCAACCUUUAUACUCGAUAUAUUAUUCCAAGCAGAUAUACAUGUGAAGAAUAUUAUGAUCUUGAUCAAUAUGGAAUCUGUAUCAUGAUCAGUGGAUGUAUCGAUCGACCAUCCAAAGAAAAAGGAUAUCCUCUGCAUAUAUGUGUGCAUGCCAACAACUAUAAAAGGAGACCAUGAGGCAAUGAGUUGAUCAUCAAAGCAAACACACAGAAAUCCCAACUAAAAAUCAAUCAGUGAGACAAUGGCUGGAACUGGAACCAAUGAUAUUAAAAUUAAAGGGUUCGAUGUGAGCAACAACAGCGGCAACACGUCGGGAUUAACCCACUUCGCCAACAGAGCUGCCGAGGGCGACAAGGGCGACAAUAAAAUCGAGGUUGAGGAUGCUAAAGGGCAAGGGAACACGGGAAACUUGAAAGUACUGACCGACUUCGCCCAACGCGGUAAAGUGGGCCAGUCGGAUCGCCAAGAACUUGUCAAACCUCAGGCAUGAAAUUGAAGAAGGCCAUACCAUAACCACUUGUCUGCUUGAUAGAUAUAUGUGCUAAAUUAUCUACACAAAAAUAAGAGCUGAUGUUUUAUCUGAGGCUCCUUCCUUGGUUAGGCCUCGUUAUCAUGUGUAAUAUUAAUAUUAUUAUUCUAAUAAAAUAAUGGUAGCUUAUUAUUAAAUAUACCCAAAUACUAUACGUAUAACUUUUAGAUUAUUGAUACUGGUGUCAACAAGAGAAAAUGAUUAAAAAGUCCUUUCUCGCAUUCGUGAUGUUAGAA
RNAcentral lists this long non-coding RNA (31412 nucleotides) under Prunus persica (peach). RNAcentral describes it as "long non-coding RNA (PPER_LNC001538)". Lineage: Eukaryota; Viridiplantae; Streptophyta; Magnoliopsida; Rosales; Rosaceae. The record is from RNAcentral.